GUGAGUUUACUUGCCAGCAAUCGACGUUAGCUAACUAUCGAACAGUCAAUCUAUUCGCAACCGGAAGACUGUUCAUUUAGCAACGUAAAAAAUGUUUUGUUAAACGUAGCUAGCCUAUUGCUGUAUUCCAUGUUGUUAGUUUAAUUAUUUGUGACGGAGGACUUGCCUCGACAAAAUGUAUGGCAGCAAGGACUGCAGUAAAGUCUUGAGGGAGACCUGUAACAGUGGACCAUGCCCCAGACAGUGAGUAACCCCCCGGGCUUGUGCAUUAGUGCCAAAACCAUUCCAGAGAGAGAGACGAUAUAUUCAUGCACUGGCGCCACAGACCCUGUUCCAGAGAGGAAGGUGAUGUAUUCAGGCAAUGGUAUACUGGACCCUGCUCCAGACCGUAGGUACAGGCAGGCCUAUUCUUCCAGGUAUAGGUGGAAAUGGAGGAGGAAGUCAAAAAAAGAAACACAGCCGUUGCCGCCAGCCCCACCUCUGCCACCGUAUGAGGAAGAAAACUGGGAGGAGGAGAUGGGAAUCGUUGAGACAUAUGGAUUUGCUCCAUAUGGACUUUUUCAUGGAGGGUGGUGUUCAGUGAUACCAAAUUGGAGAAGACAUUUUGCUGAAACAGAGGUGCUAGAGGACUUGUUCAGCCCAGAGGAUGUGGAUAGAGUGGCCCUACAGGGGUUGACCCUGAACCAGCCCCCCUGCCCUCCCCACCCCCAGACAGCAACCGACUACAGCCCUGCCACGCACCACCAAGCCCCCAUCAAAUGGGUCUGCCACAUCAUCUGCAUCGUGAAGGAGCAGUUUGUCGACGCAGAGGUUUGAGGUCCGGUGUGUUCCGAUACACUUUUUAUUAGUUUACUCUUUAAUUGUGAGCUCUUAGGAAUGAUUUUAGUUGUUUUCUCAGGUGUUUUAAGUUCUGCUUGUCCCUUGGUUGGUUUAUUAAUGAAUUAGGAUGAUGUAUUUGUAGCCUUGUUGACAGUUGGGUCACGUGUUAAUAACACUUCAUGAUUUUUGUGAAUUUCAAUAGAUUUGUAGUCUAACUCUUAACUAAAAGAGAAAUCAUAAAAACUAUCUUAUUUUUUUGAAAUACUUUUGUUUUAAAAGCAAAUAACUGAUAGGCCCAUGUGUUCAACUGUCACUCUCCCUUUAAAAUCAAAUGUGUUAAAAUAGAGGGCCCAGUGCAAGAAUAAGAUGUUACCAGGUUUAUUACACUGAUAUGUUUGGAUUUAUUCUCAAAUGGAUUGGACUGAUUCUGAGCCCAUGGAGAGCAAGAGGUCAGGUCUCCAUGACUCCAGCACUCUGUAAUACACAACCCACUGGGCACAGAUGUCAAUUCGACAUUGGUUCAAUGUAAUUUCAUUGUAAUGGUGUGGAAACAACGUUGCUUCAAACAGUGUGCACCCAGUGAGAAUGAAAUUCAGCUUUUAAAUUCCAGGAUCUCUUUAACACGAAUAAACCAUGCAUUUUAACAACAAC
RNAcentral lists this long non-coding RNA (1470 nucleotides) under Salmo salar (Atlantic salmon). RNAcentral describes it as "lncRNA (ENSSSAG00000089146.1)". Lineage: Eukaryota; Metazoa; Chordata; Actinopteri; Salmoniformes; Salmonidae. The record is from RNAcentral.